GACGAACGCUGGCGGCGUGCUUAACACAUGCAAGUCGAACGAUGAAAGCGGAGCUUGCUCCUCUGGAUUAAUGGAGAACGGGUGAGUAACACUUGAGCAAUCUACCCCUGACUCCGAAAUAACUACGGACAACUUUAGCUAAUACGGGGUAUGCUCCAAAGAGGAAUGAUUAUCGGGGGGAAAGAAUUACGGUCAGUGAUGAGAUCGCGGCCUAUCAGCUUGUUGGUUAGGUAACGGGUGACCAAGGCGAGGACGGGUAGCAGGCCUGAGAGGGUGACCGGCCAAAUUGGGACUGAGAUACGGCCCAGCCUACUACGGGACGCAGCAGUGGGGAAUAUUGCACAAUGGGCGCAAGCCUGCUGCAGCAUCGCCGCGUGGGGGAUGACGUCAUUCGGGUUGUAAACCUCUUUUCGCAGGGCAGAAGCGAAAGUGACGGUACCUGCAGAAAAAGCGCCGGCUAACUACGUG
RNAcentral lists this ribosomal RNA (468 nucleotides) under uncultured bacterium. Its description in RNAcentral is "partial 16S ribosomal RNA". It matches the Rfam family "Bacterial small subunit ribosomal RNA", at positions 28 to 507 of the family's 1533-position model. The record is from RNAcentral.